Mycena polygramma is the source of this 92-nucleotide non-coding RNA. The record is from the annotation of a GenBank genome assembly. NCBI's taxonomy places the organism in Eukaryota, Fungi, Basidiomycota, Agaricomycetes, Agaricales, Mycenaceae.
GCUCCUGUAGCUUAGUGGCAAAAGCUCCCUCUUAUCGUAUUUCACGGAUGCCCAUGUGGAGGGUGACGUGGGUUCGAAUCCCGCCAGGAGCA